This 494-nucleotide ribosomal RNA is filed under the name uncultured bacterium. RNAcentral's name for it is "partial 16S ribosomal RNA". It matches the Rfam family "Bacterial small subunit ribosomal RNA", at positions 28 to 507 of the family's 1533-position model. The record is from RNAcentral.
GACGAACGCUGGCGGCGUGCUUAACACAUGCAAGUCGAACGGUGAAGCGCCUUCCUUUUUGGUGGGUGUGGAUGAGUGGCGAACGGGUGAGUAACACGUGAGUAACCUGCCCCCUUCUUCUGGAUAACCGCAUGAAAGUGUGGCUAAUACGGGAUAUUCUGGGUCUGUCGCAUGAUGGGUCUGGGAAAGAUAUUGUUUCGGUGGGGGAUGGGCUCGCGGCCUAUCAGCUGGUUGGUGGGGUGAUGGCCUACCAAGGCGGUGACGGGUAGCCGGCCUGGGAGGGUGGACGGUCACACUGGGACUGAGACACGGCCCAGACUCCUACGGGAGGCAGCAGUGGGGAAUAUUGCACAAUGGGCGCAAGCCUGAUGCAGCGACGCCGCGUGAGGGAUGGAGGCCUUCGGGUUGUGAACCUCUUUCGCCAGUGAAGCAGGCCUGCCUCGUUUGUGGGUGGGUUGACGGUAGCUGGAUAAGAAGCGCCGGCUAACUACGUG